RNAcentral lists this ribosomal RNA (481 nucleotides) under uncultured bacterium. RNAcentral describes it as "bacterial SSU rRNA". It matches the Rfam family "Bacterial small subunit ribosomal RNA", at positions 32 to 507 of the family's 1533-position model. The record is from RNAcentral.
AACGCUGGCGGCAUGCCUUACACAUGCAAGUCGAACGGCAGCACGGGAGCAAUCCUGGUGGCGAGUGGGCGAACGGGUGAGUAAUAUAUCGGAACGUGCCCAGUCGUGGGGGAUAACGUAGCGAAAGCUACGCUAAUACCGCAUACGAUCUAUGGAUGAAANCGGGGGAUCGCAAGACCUCGCGCGAUUGGAGCGGCCGAUAUCAGAUUAGGUAGUUGGUGAGGUAAAGGCUCACCAAGCCGACGAUCUGUAGCUGGUCUGAGAGGACGACCAGCCACACUGGGACUGAGACACGGCCCAGACUCCUACGGGAGGCAGCAGUGGGGAAUUUUGGACAAUGGGCGCAAGCCUGAUCCAGCAAUGCCGCGUGCAGGAUGAAGGCCUUCGGGUUGUAAACUGCUUUUGUACGGAACGAAACGGUGAGCUCUAAUACAGUUUGCUAAUGACGGUACCGUAAGAAUAAGCACCGGCUAACUACGUG